UCAGAGCCGGGAAUGAGAAAACCGGUGCAAGCACAAUAGAUGUGCGGGAGGAAAAACCCCCGCAUAAGUCGAAGGUGUGAUGCGGACCGAAAAAGAGUAGGGAAGCUGUUAAGCAAGCCGUCAAGAAAAGCUGCUAUUGUUUCAUUAUGGCCCGUACCGUAAACCGACACAGGUGGAUGGGGAGAGAAUCCUAAGGCCGGCGGAAGAAGUAUUGUUAAGGAACUCGGCAAAAUGACCCCGUAACUUCGGGAGAAGGGGUGCCUGCGAGAGCAGGCCGCAGAGAAGAGGCCCAAGCAACUGUUUAGCAAAAACACAGGUCUAUGCAAAACCGAAAGGUGAGGUAUAUGGGCUGACGCCUGCCCGGUGCUGGAAGGUUAAGGGGAGUGGUCAGGAAACGAAGCCACGAACUUAAGCCCCAGUAAACGGCGGCCGUAACUAUAACGGUCCUAAGGUAGCGAAAUUCCUUGUCGGGUAAGUUCCGACCCGCACGAAAGGCGUAAUGAUUUGGGCGCUGUCUCGACAAUACAUCCGGUGAAAUUGAAGUGCCAGUGAAGAUGCUGGCUACCUGCGCCAGGACGGAAAGACCCCAUGGAGCUUUACUCCAGCUUGAUACUGGGACCCGGUAUUGCAUGUACAGGAUAGGUGGGAGGCUAGGAAAUGUGGACGCCAGUCUGCAUGGAGCCGCCGUUGGGAUACCACCCUUGUGGUGCCGGGUUUCUAACCAUAGGCCGUGAACCGGUCUGGGGACAAUGUCAGGUGGGGAGUUUGACUGGGGCGGUCGCCUCCGAAAGGGUAUCGGAGGCGCCCAAAGGUUCCCUCAGAAUGGUUGGAAACCAUUCGAAGAGUGCAAAGGCAGAAGGGAGCUUGACUGCGACACCGACGGGUGGAGCAGGUACGAAAGUAGGGCUUAGUGAUCCGGUGGAAUUUAAGUGGGAAUGCCAUCGUUCAACGGAUAAAAGCUACCCUGGGAUAACAGGCUGAUCACUCCCAAGAGUUCACAUCGACGGAGUGGUUUGGCACCUCGAUGUCGGCUCAUCGCAUCCUGGGGCUGAAGUCGGUCCCAAGGGUUGGGCUGUUCGCCCAUUAAAGCGGUACGCGAGCUGGGUUCAGAACGUCGUGAGACAGUUCGGUCCCUAUCCGGCGUGGGCGUAGGAUAUCUGAGAGGAGCUGUCCUUAGUACGAGAGGACCGGGAUGGACUGACCUCUGGUGUACCGGUUGGCGAUCAACGCCACGGCCGGGUAGCCAUGUCGGGACGGGAUAAACGCUGAAGGCAUCUAAGCGUGAAGCCCCCCUCAAGAUGAGAUAUCCCAUCGUAAGAGUAAGACCCCUUGAAGACGACGAGGUUGAUAGGGCAGGGGUGGAAGUGCUGUAAGGCAUGGAGCUGACUGCUACUAAUCGGUCGAGGGCUUGAUC
RNAcentral lists this ribosomal RNA (1414 nucleotides) under metagenome. Its description in RNAcentral is "bacterial LSU rRNA". It matches the Rfam family "Bacterial large subunit ribosomal RNA", at positions 1486 to 2925 of the family's 2925-position model. The record is from RNAcentral.